RNAcentral lists this microRNA (22 nucleotides) under Aedes aegypti (yellow fever mosquito). RNAcentral describes it as "Aae-Mir-33_3p (mature (guide))". Lineage: Eukaryota; Metazoa; Arthropoda; Insecta; Diptera; Culicidae. The record is from RNAcentral.
CAAUACUUCUGCAAUGCAAGCC